Molecule: ribosomal RNA, 1346 nt
Filed under: uncultured bacterium
Lineage: Bacteria
Description: partial 16S ribosomal RNA
Rfam family: Bacterial small subunit ribosomal RNA
Source: RNAcentral
GACGAACGCUGGCUGCGUGCUUAACACAUGCAAGUCGAACGGAAAGGCCCUGCUUUUGUGGGGUGCUCGAGUGGCGAACGGGUGAGUAACACGUGAGUAACCUGCCCUUGACUUUGGGAUAACUUCAGGAAACUGGGGCUAAUACCGGAUAGGAGCUCCUGCUGCAUGGUGGGGGUUGGAAAGUUUCGGCGGUUGGGGAUGGACUCGCGGCUUAUCAGCUUGUUGGUGGGGUAGUGGCUUACCAAGGCUUUGACGGGUAGCCGGCCUGAGAGGGUGACCGGCCACAUUGGGACUGAGAUACGGCCCAGACUCCUACGGGAGGCAGCAGUGGGGAAUAUUGCACAAUGGGCGGAAGCCUGAUGCAGCAACGCCGCGUGCGGGAUGACGGCCUUCGGGUUGUAAACCGCUUUCGCCUGUGACGAAGCGUGAGUGACGGUAAUGGGUAAAGAAGCACCGGCUAACUACGUGCCAGCAGCCGCGGUGAUACGUAGGGUGCGAGCGUUGUCCGGAUUUAUUGGGCGUAAAGGGCUCGUAGGUGGUUGAUCGCGUCGGAAGUGUAAUCUUGGGGCUUAACCCUGAGCGUGCUUUCGAUACGGGUUGACUUGAGGAAGGUAGGGGAGAAUGGAAUUCCUGGUGGAGCGGUGGAAUGCGCAGAUAUCAGGAGGAACACCAGUGGCGAAGGCGGUUCUCUGGGCCUUUCCUGACGCUGAGGAGCGAAAGCGUGGGGAGCGAACAGGCUUAGAUACCCUGGUAGUCCACGCUGUAAACGGUGGGUACUAGGUGUGGGGUCCAUUCCACGGGUUCCGUGCCGUAGCUAACGCUUUAAGUACCCCGCCUGGGGAGUACGGCCGCAAGGCUAAAACUCAAAGGAAUUGACGGGGCCCCGCACAAGCGGCGGAGCAUGCGGAUUAAUUCGAUGCAACGCGUAGAACCUUACCUGGGUUUGACAUGGAUCGGGAGUGCUCAGAGAUGGGUGUGCCUCUUUUGGGGUCGGUUCACAGGUGGUGCAUGGCUGUCGUCAGCUCGUGUCGUGAGAUGUUGGGUUAAGUCCCGCAACGAGCGCAACCCUUGUUCACUGUUGCCAGCACGUUAUGGUGGGGACUCAGUGGAGACCGCCGGGGUCAACUCGGAGGAAGGUGGGGGUGACGUCAAGUCAUCAUGCCCCUUAUGUCCAGGGCUUCACGCAUGCUACAAUGGCUGGUACAGAGAGUGGCGAGCCUGUGAGGGUGAGCGAAUCUCGGAAAGCCGGUCUCAGUUCGGAUUGGGGUCUGCAACUCGACCUCAUGAAGUCGGAGUCGCUAGUAAUCGCAGAUCAGCAACGCUGCGGUGAAUACGUUCCCGGGGCU